This 632-nucleotide ribosomal RNA is filed under the name Escherichia coli. RNAcentral describes it as "partial 23S ribosomal RNA". It matches the Rfam family "Bacterial large subunit ribosomal RNA", at positions 609 to 1241 of the family's 2925-position model. The record is from RNAcentral. Lineage: Bacteria; Pseudomonadati; Pseudomonadota; Gammaproteobacteria; Enterobacterales; Enterobacteriaceae.
UGUAUAAUGGGUCAGCGACUUAUAUUCUGUAGCAAGGUUAACCGAAUAGGGGAGCCGAAGGGAAACCGAGUCUUAACUGGGCGUUAAGUUGCAGGGUAUAGACCCGAAACCCGGUGAUCUAGCCAUGGGCAGGUUGAAGGUUGGGUAACACUAACUGGAGGACCGAACCGACUAAUGUUGAAAAAUUAGCGGAUGACUUGUGGCUGGGGGUGAAAGGCCAAUCAAACCGGGAGAUAGCUGGUUCUCCCCGAAAGCUAUUUAGGUAGCGCCUCGUGAAUUCAUCUCCGGGGGUAGAGCACUGUUUCGGCAAGGGGGUCAUCCCGACUUACCAACCCGAUGCAAACUGCGAAUACCGGAGAAUGUUAUCACGGGAGACACACGGCGGGUGCUAACGUCCGUCGUGAAGAGGGAAACAACCCAGACCGCCAGCUAAGGUCCCAAAGUCAUGGUUAAGUGGGAAACGAUGUGGGAAGGCCCAGACAGCCAGGAUGUUGGCUUAGAAGCAGCCAUCAUUUAAAGAAAGCGUAAUAGCUCACUGGUCGAGUCGGCCUGCGCGGAAGAUGUAACGGGGCUAAACCAUGCACCGAAGCUGCGGCAGCGACGCUGAUGCGUUGUUGGGUAGGGGAGCGUUC